GUGAACGCUGGCGGUAGGCCUAACACAUGCAAGUCGAACGGCAGCACAGUAAGAGCUUGCUCUUACGGGUGGCGAGUGGCGGACGGGUGAGGAAUACAUCGGAAUCUACUUUUUCGUGGGGGAUAACGUAGGGAAACUUACGCUAAUACCGCAUACGACCUACAGGUGAAAGCAGGGGAUCUUCGGACCUUGCGCGAUUGAAUGAGCCGAUGUCGGAUUAGCUAGUUGGCGGGGUAAAGGCCCACCAAGGCGACGAUCCGUAGCUGGUCUGAGAGGAUGAUCAGCCACACUGGAACUGAGACACGGUCCAGACUCCUACGGGAGGCAGCAGUGGGGAAUAUUGGACAAUGGGCGCAAGCCUGAUCCAGCCAUACCGCGUGGGUGAAGAAGGCCUUCGGGUUGUAAAGCCCUUUUGUUGGGAAAGAAAAGCAGCAGGUUAAUACCCCGCUGUUCUGACGGUACCCAAAGAAUAAGCACCGGCUAACUUCGUG
Molecule: ribosomal RNA, 491 nt
Filed under: uncultured bacterium
Lineage: Bacteria
Description: partial 16S ribosomal RNA
Rfam family: Bacterial small subunit ribosomal RNA
Source: RNAcentral